GACGAACGCUGGCGGCGUGCUUAACACAUGCAAGUCGAACGGUGAAAGCGGAGCUUGCUCCGCUGGAUCAGUGGCGAACGGGUGAGUAACACGUGGGCAACCUGCCCUUCACUUCGGGAUAACUCAGGGAAACUGGGGCUCAUACCGGAUAUGACCUCUGCGGGCAUCCGCGGAGGUGGAAAGUUUUUCGGUGAAGGAUGGGCACGGGGCCGAUCAGCUUGUUGGUGAGGUAGUGGCUCACCAAGGCGACGACGGGUAGCCGGCCUGAGAGGGCGACCGGCCACACUGGGACUGAGACACGGCCCAGACUCCUACGGGAGGCAGCAGUGGGGAAUAUUGCGCAAUGGGCGAAAGCCUGACGCAGCAACGCCGCGUGCGGGAUGACGGCCUUCGGGUUGUAAACCGCUUUCAGCAGGGAAGAAGCUGCAAGGUGACGGUACCUGCAGAAGAAGCACCGGCUAACUACGUGCCAGCCGCCGCCGUAA
RNAcentral lists this ribosomal RNA (485 nucleotides) under uncultured bacterium. RNAcentral describes it as "partial 16S ribosomal RNA". It matches the Rfam family "Bacterial small subunit ribosomal RNA", at positions 28 to 523 of the family's 1533-position model. The record is from RNAcentral.